GAUGAACGCUGGCGGCGUGCUUAAUACAUGCAAGUCGAGCGAACAGACGAGGCGCUUGUUCCUCUGUCGUUAGCGGCGCAGGGGUGAGAAACACGUGGAUAACCUCCCUAUAAGAGUGGGAUAAUUUGGGGAAACCGGCGCUAAUCCCGGAUAAUAUAUUGAACCGCAUGGUUCAAUGGUGAAUGUCGGCUUUGCUGUAACUUCUCGAUGCUUCCGCGCCUCUUUAGCUAGUUGGUAAGGUAACGGCUUACCAAGGCAACGAUGCGUAGCCGACCGGAGAGGGGGAUCGGCCACACUGGAACUGAGACACGGUCCAGACUCCUACGGGAGGCAGCAGUAGGGAAUCUUCCGCAAUGGGCGAAAGCCUGACGGAGCAACGCCGCGUGAGUGAUGAAGGUCUUCGGAUCGUAAAACUCUGUUAUUAGGGAAGAACAAAUGUGGAAGUAACUGUGCACUUCGUGACGGUACCUAAUCAGAAAGCCACGGCUAACUACGUG
RNAcentral lists this ribosomal RNA (497 nucleotides) under uncultured bacterium. Its description in RNAcentral is "partial 16S ribosomal RNA". It matches the Rfam family "Bacterial small subunit ribosomal RNA", at positions 28 to 507 of the family's 1533-position model. The record is from RNAcentral.